AUGGAUGACGCCAACUGCCCCAUUAUGAGUUGGAACGUCCGAGGGCUAAACACACCGGUGCGCCGCUCUGUCAUUUGUGACGCUGCUAACUCGCACAAGCCUGCAAUCCUAUGCCUACAGGAUACCAAGAUUGAGUGUUGAUCGCCAGCUCUAGCCAGAGAAGUAGGGGGUGCAAGGCUCGACGACUACGUAGUACUCCCAGCGAUGGGGACGCGUGGAGGGGCUACAAUCUUUUGGAACUCCAAUAUAGCCUCCGUCCAAUCUCAGGCGAUAGGGCAAUUCUCAAUCACAACAAAAGUGAUGCUUCUGAAAUCCUCGACCUCCUUCUGGCUAACCACGGUGUAUGGGCAUGCACACGAAGCAUGGAAACAUGAUUUCCUCACGGAGAUUGCAAGUGUGGCACCUCCACCUGGUGAAGCAUGGCUGAUCAACGGCGACUUCAACACCAUCUAUGAAGCUAGGGACAAAAGCAACAGCAACAUAAAUCGCCGGACCAUGGCCAAGUUCAGAGUAGCCAUAGACGCAGCUGGAUUCCAUGAAAUCAAAUGCAAAAAUCGUCGUUACACUUGGAGCAACGAACGGUGA
Molecule: ribosomal RNA, 585 nt
Filed under: Triticum aestivum (bread wheat)
Lineage: Eukaryota; Viridiplantae; Streptophyta; Magnoliopsida; Poales; Poaceae
Description: partial small subunit ribosomal RNA
Source: RNAcentral